ACUCAAAGGAAUUGACGGGCACCCGCACAAGCGGUGGAGCAUGCUGUUUAAUUCGAAGAUACGCGAAGAACCUUACCUAGACUUGACAUCCCCGGCAAAGCUAUAGAAAUAUAGUGGAGGUUAUCCGGGUGACAGGUGGUGCAUGGUUGUCGUCAGCUCGUGUCGUGAGAUGUUCGGUUAAGUCCGAUAACGAGCGCAACCCUUAUCAUUAGUUACUAACAUUUAGUUGAGGACUCUAAUGAGACUGCCGGUGACAAACCGGAGGAAGGUGGGGAUGACGUCAAAUCAUCAUGCCCCUUACGUCUAGGGCUACAGGCGUGCUACAAUGGCUGGUACAAAGAGAUGCAAGACCGUGAGGUGGAGCUAAUCUAUAAAACCAGUCCCAGUUCGGAUUGGAGUCUGCAACUCGACUCCAUGAAGUUGGAAUCGCUAGUAAUCCUGAAUCAGAAUGUCAGGGUGAAUACGUUCCCGGGUGUUGUACACACCGCCCGU
Molecule: ribosomal RNA, 492 nt
Filed under: uncultured bacterium
Lineage: Bacteria
Description: bacterial SSU rRNA
Rfam family: Bacterial small subunit ribosomal RNA
Source: RNAcentral